CGACGUCACGAAAAAGGGGCGUUUCCCUCCCGCGGGGCGGGGCUCUUCAGGAGGCCCAGGGUAGAAAUGAAAGAAUCUUGAGAGUAAUUAUAGGAAGAAUCCCAAGAAAAGACACACUGGGAAAUAGAGAAGUUCUAACACUAGUAAAGGCAGAAAUUGCACACAGAAAAACCUGGUCUCAAGUAGGACUUCUCUUCAAUCAUUCUUUUUCACUUAACGUCCAUUUCUGCCUCAGCACCACUGCCCAUCUUUUACCAUUCAUCAGAUUUCCUGAGAAAAUCCACCUAAAAUAUAUACUGAGUAUAUUCUUGAAGAAGCUAGAGCCAUCUUAUUAAGUUGUUAACCAACUGAUAUCUCAUUGCUGCUGAAAAAUAUCUCACUGGGGAGACACCUUUGUGGCAUAUCAGCUAAAGCCAACACAUAUGGUGAUGCCAGUGUUCCAUGUAUGUGCCGGUUCAAGUCCCAGUUACUUCAUUUUCCAUCCAAGUUCCUGCCAACGUGCCUGGGACAGCAGCAGAAGAUGUCCCAAGUGCUUGGGGCCUUGGCACCAUGGGAGAGACCAAGAAGAAACUUAUGGCUUCAGUCUUGUCAAGGUUUAGAAGUUACUGCUGUUUGAUGAGUGAACUAGUAGAUGGAGAAUCUCUCCUCUCCUCUUCUCUUUCUUUGUACAGGUAUCUGUCCCUUUCAAAUAAA
This is a long non-coding RNA of Ochotona princeps (American pika), 693 nucleotides long. RefSeq lists it as uncharacterized. The transcript has 3 exons. NCBI's taxonomy places the organism in Eukaryota, Metazoa, Chordata, Mammalia, Lagomorpha, Ochotonidae. The record is from RefSeq and is a predicted model, not a curated record.